UGGGGAAUCUUGGACAAUGGGGGCAACCCUGAUCCAGCGAUGCCGCGUGGGUGAAGAAGGCCUUCGGGUUGUAAAGCCCUUUAGGUUGGGAAGAAAGGUAUAGGGUGAAUAGCCUUAUAUUUUGACGGUACCGACAGAAUAAGCACCGGCAAACUCUGUGCCAGCAGCCGCGGUAAUACAGAGGGUGCGAGCGUUAAUCGGAAUUACUGGGCGUAAAGGGCGCGUAGGCGGUUAGAUAGGUGGAAUGUGAAAGCCCUGGGCUUAACCUAGGAAGUGCAUACCAAACGAUCUAACUGGAGUAUAGGAGAGGGUGGCGGAAUUUCCGGUGUAGCGGUGAAAUGCGUAGAGAUCGGAAGGAACGUCGAUGGCGAAGGCAGCCACCUGGCCUAAUACUGACGCUGAGGCGCGAAAGCGUGGGGAGCGAACAG
This 428-nucleotide ribosomal RNA is filed under the name uncultured bacterium. Its description in RNAcentral is "bacterial SSU rRNA". It matches the Rfam family "Bacterial small subunit ribosomal RNA", at positions 355 to 775 of the family's 1533-position model. The record is from RNAcentral.